CCUACGGGUGGCAGCAGUGGGGAAUAUUGGGCAAUGGAGGAAACUCUGACCCAGCAACGCCGCGUGAAUGAUGAAGGUCUUCGGAUUGUAAAGUUCUUUUCUAAGGGAAGAAGCAAGUGACGGUACCUUAGGAAUAAGCCUCGGCUAACUACGUGCCAGCAGCCGCGGUAAUACGUAGGAGGCAAGCGUUAUCCGGAAUGACUGGGCGUAAAGGGUGCGUAGGUGGUUUGAUAAGUUGGUAGCGAAACUCCGGGGCUCAACCUCGGCACUACUACCAAAACUGUCGUACUUGAGUGCAGGGGAGGCAAGUGGAAUUCCUAGUGUAGCGGUGGAAUGCGUAGAUAUUAGGAGGAACACCAGUGGCGAAGGCGAGUUGCUGGACUGUAACUGACACUGAGGCACGAAAGCGCGGGUAUCGAACAGGAUUAGAUACCCUAGUAGUC
This 443-nucleotide ribosomal RNA is filed under the name uncultured bacterium. RNAcentral's name for it is "partial 16S ribosomal RNA". It matches the Rfam family "Bacterial small subunit ribosomal RNA", at positions 338 to 795 of the family's 1533-position model. The record is from RNAcentral.